Molecule: long non-coding RNA, 7415 nt
Organism: Lotus japonicus
Lineage: Eukaryota; Viridiplantae; Streptophyta; Magnoliopsida; Fabales; Fabaceae
Exons: 4
Source: RefSeq, a predicted model, not a curated record
UUUUGCAGCAGACCAUAAUCUUUCUUUCUUAUUCUUCUUCUUCUCUAUUUCUAUAUAUAUAUAUAUAUCUCACCACUUGUUGCAACUCACGUUCUCUCUCUCAGAAGCAUCACCACCAGACUUCAAUAUUUAUUCAUUUCCUUUCUUUUCAUUUCUUUUGCUGCAGCUCACCAAUUCUUUCCACUUAUUCUUCCUCUCUUUUCUUUCCUCUGGGCAGCAUAAAAAAACGCACAUCAUGGUCCCUUUUCCUCCCUCACGUGAUUCCUCUCUUGUGCAGCACCAUCAUCUUCAUCUUCCAAUUUUAUGGGUACGAAGGACGAAAGCGCCUUGCGACGAAGCUAAAGAAUAGAAGGAAGCGAGCCGACGCGGAAAACAAAGAUGUGAUAGGAUUGGAGUUGCAGUUUAGGAAGAAAAUUGGCUAAGGUAAGGGUAACUCGGUUUUAGAGCGUCUUUGAGUCUUGCAUGCUUUUAUCGCACUGCCUGCGUUUGAGAUGAAGAUGUUUAUAUUGAUUGGCAGAUGAUUAUGAUUAUUAUGCUGAAUUUGGAAAAUGUUUUCUGAAGGCUUCGGCCGAGUGAACUUAUUGAGACGCGUGUCUCCGUUUUCUUAGAGGCUUCGGCCGUUUACUGGUUUCUGUCGUUACUGCUUCCUAGUGGGUGGAACAUGUGGUUACUUUGGAUUGGUCCUUGGUUGGGCUUUGUUGUUGUCUGACUUGGCAUAUAGGGCUUGAGUCAAGUGGCGAUGAGGAGGUGUGUCCUAUCAUUGUCCCAUCUUGCGAGAUGCUAAGUGGCGAUCAGGAGGUGUGUCCUAUCAUUGUCCCAUCUUGCGAGAUGCUAAGUGGCGAUCAGGAGGUGUGUCCUAUGAUUGUCCCGUCUUGUGUGACGUUAAGUGGCGAUUAGGAGGUGUGUCCUAUGAUUGUCCCGUCAUGUAUGACGUUAUAAGUGGCGAUGAGGAGGUGUGUCCUAUCAUUGUCCCGUCUUGAGAGACGAUAUUGAUCGAUCCAUUUUGUUAGCGGCAUAUAGUUGCAUUAUAGGGAACUAACACCUGACCCUAUGUUGUUGGAUUUUCGUAUUGGGUUAUUGAUAUAUGAUUUGAUGUUACAUUGUUGAGGUUAUUAUUAUCUGAGUUCGAUAUAUGUUUAAGUUGUUGAUAUAUGAGUUGAGUUAUGUUGCUAGUUAUUUACCAUGCCAGGUAAUUAAAUUCGAACAGCAUGAUUUUCUCUUUUAUACAUGGUAAUUGCAUGGAGUUAACCCUUUCUAUUUGCUACUUGUUGUUUGGGCGCUUAACGCUAUUAGGCGAUGGAGGACUGUCGAUGAAACUUGACCUUUGCACGAGUCGGAGCUGAAGACUUGAAGAUUAGUGGAAGACAUGAAGUGUAGAGUCGGGUUUAAGGUUAGAGCCUUGGGUUAGAGAGCUUACCGUUAUUGGUUUAAGCUUGCCUAAUAAUUUUUAGGAAUUUGCAUUUGAGAUUCGGGUAGGUUCCGAUGCAUUGCUUUCUUGCGGUUCCCUGGUGUGGAGAUCGUAGGGAGUAGGUCGGAUUAGGGUGUCGUGGCAUAACAAAUUCCUUGUUGGAUAUGAUUUCAUUCGUUAGAUUUGUAGUUGUGUUCUUCCGUUCAUACAUUCGGGAACUUGCCUUGGUAAAGGCUUGAUGUAGAUUUUAUUUACUGUUGGGUGUGGGCAUUACAUGUUUUGAAAACAAUUCAAAAGAAAAAAAAAAUUACUCGCUUUAUAAAUUCAUUUGGAAAAUAUUGCAUAUUUACUUUAAUUGGUUACUAAAGUGACACCCGAAAUUCGGGGCGUUACAUUGUGGUAUCAGAGCUUUUGUUGAGAAACCAGAGCUUGUUGGGGAAUAGGUCUUCUGUGCUAGGUUGUUUGAACUUUGUAAUUGAUCGGCUGGGUGUUGAUCGAUUGACAGAGUGUUACCAUAUAGAUUAUAUGAUUAAUUGUUUAUUUUGUCUACUAGUUGUUUCUUGUUGUUGUUGUUUUCUUGAACACUAACCCCUUAACUUCUGACUAGAUGGUUAGUACCCCCACCGAAAUAUUAACUGUACUUGUUAUUUGCCUGCUUUGUUAUACGUUAUUCCAGGUAGAAACUACAUGUUGUUGAACGGGGAAAGGAGUAUGCAUUAGGCACAUUCCUUUGACCGUUGUUUGUGUUCUGAUUAGGACAGUUGUAUAGGGUUUAGAGAAGUGCUAAACCUAGAAGUUGUUUUGUACGAAUAUGUUAGUAAGGAAGAUGGAAGCUUAGAAUGAAUCCUAAGGGAGUGUUGUUUGAGUUCCAGGAACUAAGGUUGUACUUCUGCUAGAUGAAGUUGUUGGAGAUGGAGUAGAUUAAGAGAUGAUCUUAAUUUAGAUGUGACCACUUGAUGAGAUAGACUCAUUGGCCUUACUAGUGAGUUUUUCUGAAUUUUCAUCCGCAAGAUAUUGAGCCUGAUCAACUUAAUAUUGAGGGGGUGAUAUUUGGAAUCACAGCUGGCGUGGACUAUGAUAGGAGGAUUGAUUGGAUUGGAUCGAUGAUUAGUCGAGUUGAUAUAUGGGUUUAUGUUAAAUGUUUGAUUCUCCUUGCGGAUAAGUUGUAGUUUUAAGAAAUAGUCUUCCACUUGAGGAGUGUGAGAGAGCGAAAGGAUAAUAGAGGUCCAAACUUAUUAAAGGUGUAGACUUUAAGUCUGAGAAUUCUUGUCCUAAGUGGGUAAAACCUAGAGGCUGUCAGACUUUGGGUAGGAAACUAAGGAUUUGAUUGACAUAGGAGUGACAAGGUUAAGGACGGAAAGUUCUAGCAUUGAGUUGCAGACUGGAGGUUGUUAUCUGUGGGAGAGUCACCAAGAACCUAAGCGUAAACGAGACCUUGAGGAUAGCUUAGAAAAUGUUAUUUGAGGGAAUGACACUCCCGAGUUCCUCUGACACCAAGUUUCGAGGACGAAACUUUCUUUUUGGGGGGUAGUAUUGUAAGACCCAGGAUUUUAGAAUUAAAAUAAAUUAAUUAAUUUCCACCUCACGCAUAAGAUUCUGUUUAAGCGUGAGUGGAACUCGACUUAUGUUUGAUGUUUGGAUUAGCGUUAUGAAGAAGAAAGUUCAGGAAAUGGUUAAGAAUAGUUAUAUAGUCGCUAUAGGUUAUAGCACGAGCUUUAUUCACUUCCGCCUUAGGGCAAAAACAUUAGAAAAUGGCUAAUCUGCUCUUAAAGCACUGUAGAAACGAUAUUCAAAAAUAUUCAGAGGAAUAUAAGAAUUUCUCUUAUUCCUUUCCUUGACAAGCAUUUCGAUACGAAAACCUGGAAUGUACGAACGUCCGAUUCUAGUUCUCGGAGGUUUGCCGAAACUGAAUCCCUGAUAGCUCAAGAACCUUUAAAUAAACGGUCGAUGGAGACUUUUUCCAUUCGAAGCUUCAAACGAAGAUUCCAUCCGCGUUUCCUGAUGUCUUUCGACGUUUCCAACCUUUCUUCAGAAGGAAGUUUCUUCAUCCGACGUCAAACGCAAAAAGUAGUUUUGCGGCAUAUUUCAACCCAUACUACGUUCAAGCUAUUUUCUCACUUAAAUGAACCAGGAACAAGUAUCGACAUUUUAUAGAGAGAUACUUAACUCUGAUGCAUAAUAUGACAACUUCAUAUUUGUUCUGAUCGUCUCACAAAUAUUCUUUAGCUCAGUUUUUACUCAUUUCUUUGUCCAUGGAUCAUUUUAAUUUGCUCAAAGUGAUCCAAACUUAUAUUUCAUUAUUUCAUAGAGUCUCUCAUAAUUUUUGGUAUAGUAAUAUAUCAACUCUAUAUUUUUCUCUUAACUUUGUGAGCUAAAUUCUUCAGUGUCUAAAUCAAUUCGUACCGGUUUUAUAAAUAUCUUCCCUAAAUAUCUAAUAAUCCAUCCUCAUCCUCUGUGACUCACGUUCACUCCCUCCUUUUCUUUCAUUGUCACGUUUCUUUCUUUCUCUUGCAGCAGACCAUAAUCUUUCUUUCUUAUUCUUCUUCUUCUCUAUUUCUAUAUAUAUAUAUAUAUAUAUAUAUCUCACCACUUGUUGCAACUCACGUUCUCUCUCUCAGAAGCAUCACCACCAGACUUCAAUAUUUAUUCAUUUCCUUUCUUUUCAUUUCUUUUGCUGCAGCUCACCAAUUCUUUCCACUUAUUCUUCCUCUCUUUUCUUUCCUCUGGGCAGCAUAAAAAAACGCACAUCAUGGUCCCUUUUCCUCCCUCACGUGAUUCCUCUCUUGUGCAGCACCAUCAUCUUCAUCUUCCAAUUUUAUGGUAAAACUUCUUCUCUUUUCUUUGAUCAUCUUUUUAGUCAAUUAAAUUUACCCUUUUAGUUUCCACACCUAGUAUCUUCAUUAAAGUUAUGACUAUGGAAAGGAUCUAGUGAACCAUGGUUUUUAUUUCCAAAAAGGUUGAGUUCUUGUCUUUGUAAAAUUUUCAAUUAAAGCUUUUUCCAAAGUGCUUUUACAAAUGUUAUUCCCCAUCACCGGAUCUAUGGAUUUCACCGAUUAGUUUUCUAAAAAGUUGUUUUUUUGAGUUAAGUGAUUUUGAGAUUUUAAUGAUUUUAAUUUAAGCCUUGAUUAUUUAUUUUUUAAAUGUAAAAGAAAUGGCUUUGGAAGUGAGUUUAGGAAAAAGGAAAAUUAAUACAUGGUUAUGUAGAUGUGGCCGAGCCUAUGGCAUGUGUUUUGGGUUUGGAAAAUCAAUUCUGAAACUUGUUUUUGUUUAGUGAAAAUCACAAGUUAAGUUUAUGGACUAAAAGUUUAUUGUGGGAAAACUUUAGGAUUAAAGCACAAGAGGCUGAGAAGUUUUGGGUUAAACCGGAGUUUUAAAAGUCUUGGGGUUUGUUUGAUAAAUUUAUAAAAGAUUGAGGGUUGAAAAAGAACUUACUUUUAUGUGAGGACCUUUUCGUGAUUAUGUGCUUAUCAAGGGACUAGGGUUGAAUUAUUUAAAAGUUGAGGAGUUGUUUGCGAAAUAUGUUUUUUUAAGGACCUUUCUUUAAAACUCACAAAUAUUUUAUCUUUGGACUUUAGUCCUUGAAACAUAAAGUUUGUGCAUUUAGCCUAAGUGAGCUAGAAAGAUUGGCUAAGUUUGUUCUGAAACUUUAGAUGUGACUUUAGAGGCUAAGGUUUAGUAUGUGAACUUGUGAAGGGUACGAAGGACGAAAGCGCCUUGCGACGAAGUUAAAGAAUAGAAGGAAGCGAGCCGACGCGGAAAACAAAGAUGUGAUAGGAUUGGAGUUGCAGUUUAGGAAGAAAAUUGGCUAAGGCGAUGGAGGAUUGUCGAUGAAACUUGACCUUUGCACGAGUCGGAGCUGAAGACUUGAAGAUUAGUGGAAGACAUGAAGUGUAGAGUCGGGUUUAAGGUUAGAGCCUUGGGUUAGAGAGCUUACCGUUAUUGGUUUAAGCUUGCCUAAUAAUUUUUAGGAAUUUGCAUUUGAGAUUCGGGUAGGUUCCGAUGCAUUGCUUUCUUGCGGUUCCCUGGUGUGGAGAUCGUAGGGAGUAGGUCGGAUUAGGGUGUCGUGGCAUAACAAAUUCCUUGUUGGAUAUGAUUUCAUUUGUUAGAUUUGUAGUUGUGUUCUUCCGUUCAUACAUUCGGAAACUUGCCUUGGUAAAGGCUUGAUGUAGAUUUUAUUUACUGUUGGGUGUAGGCAUUACAUGUUUUGAAAACAAUUCAAAGGGAAAAAAAAAUUUACUCGCUUUAUAAAUUCAUUUGGAAAAUAUUGCAUAUUUACUUUAAUUGGUUACUAAAGUGACACCCGAAAUUCGGGGCGUUACAGUGCCGGAUGUUCAGGAACAUGUCUUCCUCGAAGGCUUUCCUUUUGAGCUCUUCCAGUGCAACCAUGUAUGAAGCCAUUUCUCUUUAUGGUGUUGAUCGAGUUGUGAAGCUUACCCUCUUCUUAAUCGCUCUAUAUAGGCUUCACUUUCUCUCUGCAAGUUAAUGCUCCUACAGUUUCUCGAGGUUAAGUCCUUAGUAACUGUAACUACUCUUUACUCCCGUGGCCGGUGGUAAACGUUUCUCUCUUGCAUUAACUCUCCUCUUUAAUUCGCCUUACUCUUAUUCAUGCAUCAUUUUUUCUCCAUUUUUUUUUAAACUUAGACCUUCUCUAAGGGGGAGUACCUUGUACUUCAAACUAAGUUUUUCACACCCCAAGCUUUUUGCUUAUGACAAAAAGGGGGAGUACAACCCAGUUUUUGAUGUGUAAGCUGUGUUAGUGUGAUUUAUUUUUCUUUUGGAGAAUUUAAGAGUUCCACCUUUAUGACCAUAGAUGUGUCACUGGGCAAAUACAAGGAAUACAUUUCACUUCUUCUGAAGUGAUUCUAUUUGACUCUGAUACCACUUAUCGUUGACUCUGAAUUCUUAUGCGCUCUUAUUAUUUUAAUUCAUCUAUGUCAUGCGCCUUCACUCUGAACUCUUACAAUAUUUAGCUCAGAAUCUAGACAUUUCUAACGUUUUCAUUAAGUCUUAGAUUCAGGGGGAGCUAUGCUCAGAAUCAAGCUGUGACUUGGAUUCAGAAUGAGCAAAAUAAACCAUUCACAUCAGGAUAAGUCUUAUUCUAUAUCUCUAAACUCUGAGUGAAUUCAGUUUAUUGUUUAAGAAUUGUUCAUCAAAAAUCUUAGUUUUGUCAUCAUCAAAAAGGGGGAGAUUGUAAGAUCAAGUUUUGAUCUAGUAGUACAACUCUAUGUUUUGAUGAUUACAAGUUAACCUUUUGAUAUGAACAAUUAUGGUACUCUAACGUGUUUUUUUCUGAGUGUGCUAUUUACAGGCUCUGACCUCUAUUCAAUCUCACACAAAUCAGAAGCACUAUGCCUAAAGAGUGACCCAAGCAACGCUUUCGCAUUCUCCAUGUUCAGUCUGAACAGUGGAAAAGCUUCAGAAGAUCUGAAGUAAAUUAAGCUCUGAUAAGGACUCAGCUCACUUGAAGCUCUGAUGAUCCAGACGUUUUGACAACCCAGAGACUCUGAAGGUUCAGAAGUUCUGAUGGUGUAGAAGACUCUGAAGAUCCAGAAGCUGAAGAGUGAAGACUCUGAAGUCCAGAAGCAACUGGCUCUGAAGACCAUGUACUGAUCCUCUGAAGUGAAGAUCAGAAGGUACAACGGUCAGAGGAUCCAAGCUUCCUUCUGACUCUGAUCAAUCUGCUUCACAAGUUUUAUUUGACAUCAAGGGCAUUUUGGAGAAUUGCGGAAUGAAGAUUUGAUUGUGCUGGAGUGAAGAUUGUAUUUUAGGAAAUAUUAGGAUUUAAUUUCGGAAUAAAUUAAGUUUGAUAUCUUUCAGAUUCAAACUUAUUUAGGUUGUUAUUUUAAAACUCUAUCUUUAGGAUUUGUUAGGAUUUAUUGUUAUCUUUUAGGAUUUGAUUUUGUUUAGGAUUUGUGAUCUCAGCUCCUAUUUAAGGAUUUGUGCUGAGAGAAACAAUUACCUUUUACCUUCUACAUUAUUAUUUUAUGCAAUUUUCGAAUUUCAGUUA